Molecule: non-coding RNA, 74 nt
Organism: Picea glauca (white spruce)
Lineage: Eukaryota; Viridiplantae; Streptophyta; Pinopsida; Pinales; Pinaceae
Source: Rfam
GCUGGAAUAGCUCAGUGGGUUAGAGCUUGUGGCUGUUAACCACAAGGUCGGAGCUUCAAGCCCUCCUUCUAGCG